GACGAACGCUGGCGGCGUGCCUAACACAUGCAAGUCGAACGAGGUCCAAGGAAGCUUGCUUCCUGAAGACCUAGUGGCGAACGGGUGAGUAACACGUGAGAAACCUGCCUCGGAGUGGGGAAUAACUCGGGGAAACUCGAGCUAAUACCGCAUACCUUCACAUGAUCGCAUGGUCGAGUGAAAGAAAGAAUUUCGCUCUGAGAGGGUCUCGCGGCCUAUCAGCUUGUUGGUGGGGUAACGGCCUACCAAGGCAACGACGGGUAGCUGGUUUGAGAGAACGAUCAGCCACACUGGGACUGAGACACGGCCCAGACUCCUACGGGAGGCAGCAGUGGGGAAUCUUGCGCAAUGGGCGAAAGCCUGACGCAGCAACGCCGCGUGCGGGAUGACGGCCUUCGUGGUUGUAACCGCUUUCAGCAGGACGAAAGUAGACGGUACCUGCAGAAGAAGACCCCGGCGUAACUACGUGCCAGCAGCCG
This 479-nucleotide ribosomal RNA is filed under the name uncultured bacterium. RNAcentral describes it as "bacterial SSU rRNA". It matches the Rfam family "Bacterial small subunit ribosomal RNA", at positions 28 to 517 of the family's 1533-position model. The record is from RNAcentral.